Molecule: ribosomal RNA, 465 nt
Filed under: uncultured bacterium
Lineage: Bacteria
Description: partial 16S ribosomal RNA
Rfam family: Bacterial small subunit ribosomal RNA
Source: RNAcentral
GACGAACGCUGGCGGCGUGCUUAACACAUGCAAGUCGAACGGAAAGGCCCUGCUUGCAGGGUACUCGAGUGGCGAACGGGUGAGUAACACGUGGGUGAUCUGCCCUGCACUUCGGGAUAAGCUUGGGAAACUGGGUCUAAUACCGGAUAGGAACCAUCUUUAGUGUGGUGGUUGGAAAGUUUUUUCGGUGUAGGAUGAGCCCGCGGCCUAUCAGCUUGUUGGUGGGGUAAUGGCCUACCAAGGCGGCGACGGGUAGCCGGCCUGAGAGGGUGUACGGCCACAUUGGGACUGAGAUACGGCCCAGACUCCUACGGGAGGCAGUAGUGGGGAAUAUUGCACAAUGGGCGCAAGCCUGAUGCAGCGACGCCGCGUGGGGGAUGAAGGCCUUCGGGUUGUAAACUCCUUUCGCUAGGGACGAAGCUUUUUGUGACGGUACCUAGAUAAGAAGCACCGGCUAACUACGUG